CUUGAUUUUGAUUAUUUAAGUUAGUUUUUAAGAAAAUUUAGCAUGCAAUUAUUUUUAAAUAAAUUUUUGGCAGUUUUUUAUUUUAUUAAGUUAUAGAGUUAUAGAUUAAGUUAUUUUAAAAAGGAUUAGUCUAAACUGUGCCAGCAACUGCGGUUAUACAUUUAAUUCAAAUUAAUUGUCUAAGCAAAAAGUAAUUAAUUUAUUAGUAUUAUUUUAUAAAUAAAAUUAAGGUAAAAUUUUUUAUAUUAUUUAGUAUAAAAAUUUAUGAAAUAUAUGUAUUAAAAUAGGAUUAGAUACCCUAGUAUAAAUAUAUUUAAAAUGGUUUGCUUAAUUAGUAUUUGUUAUAACAUUAAAUUUAAAAGAUUUGGCGGUAAAUUAUUUAACUAGAGGAACUUGUUUUGUAAUCGAUAAUCCACGUUUAAUUUUUCCUUUAUUUGUUAGUCGGCUUAUAUACCGUUGUUUAUGAAAAUUUUUAUUGAAUUUUAAUUUUCUCAAUAAAUUUUUUAAUAAAAUCAAGUCAAGGUGUAGUUUAUAUAAAGGUUUAUAAUGAGUUACUUUUAUUUAUAAUAGUAGAUUAUAUUUUGAAAGGAGUAUAUAAAAAAGGAUUUAUUAGUAAUAAUUAAUUAAAUAGUAGUUAUGAAUUAUAUACUAAUUUAUGUACAUAUUGCCCGUCGCUUUCAUUGUGAAAUUAAUUUCUUAAAAUGAAAUAAGUCGUAACAUAGUAAGUCUACUGGAAAGUUGACUUAGAUUG
RNAcentral lists this non-coding RNA (751 nucleotides) under Colossendeis megalonyx. Lineage: Eukaryota; Metazoa; Arthropoda; Pycnogonida; Pantopoda; Colossendeidae. The record is from RNAcentral.